GCAGCAGGCGCGCAAAUUACCCACUCCCAGAUCGGGGAGGUAGUGACGAAAAAUAACGAUACGGGACUCAUCCGAGGCCCCGUAAUCGGAAUGAGUACACUCUAAACCCUUUAACGAGGAUCCAUUGGAGGGCAAGUCUGGUGCCAGCAGCCGCGGUAAUUCCAGCUCCAAUAGCGUAUAUUAAAGUUGUUGCGGUUAAAAAGCUCGUAGUCGAAUUUGUGUCUCGCGCCGUCCGGUUCAUCGUUCGCGGUGUCAACUGGCGUGUCGCGAGACGUCCUGCCGGCGGGUCGUUCGCAAGAGCGGCCCAAAUUGCCCCGCCGCGGUGCUCUUCAUUGAGUGUCGAGGUGGGCCGGCACUUUUACUUUGAACAAACUAAGGUGCUUAAAGCAGGCUGAAAUUUUGCCAGAAUAUUUUAUGCAUGGAAUAAUGAAACAGGACCUCGAUUCUAUUUUGUUGGUUUUCGGAACCUCGAGGUAAUGAUUAACAGGAACGGAUGGGGGCAUUCGUAUUGCGACGUUAGAGGUGAAAUUCUUGGAUCGUCGCAAGACGGACAGAAGCGAAAGCAUUUGCCAAAAACGUUUUCAUUGAUCAAGAACGAAAGUUAGAGGUUCGAAGGCGAUCAGAUACCGCCCUAGUUCUAACCAUAAACUAUGCCAGCUAGCGAUCCGCCGACGUUCCUCCGAUGACUCGGCGGGCAGCUUCCGGGAAACCAAAGCUUUUGGGUUCCGGGGGAAGUAUGGUUGCAAAGCUGAAACUUAAAGGAAUUGACGGAAGGGCACCACCAGGAGUGGAGCCUGCGGCUUAAUUUGACUCAACACGGGAAACCUCACCAGGCCCGGACACCGGAAGGAUUGACAGAUUGAGAGCUCUUUCUUGAUUCGGUGGGUGGUGGUGCAUGGCCGU
This 903-nucleotide ribosomal RNA is filed under the name Harmonia quadripunctata (cream-streaked ladybird beetle). RNAcentral describes it as "SSU rRNA". It matches the Rfam family "Eukaryotic small subunit ribosomal RNA", at positions 425 to 1291 of the family's 1831-position model. The record is from RNAcentral. Lineage: Eukaryota; Metazoa; Arthropoda; Insecta; Coleoptera; Coccinellidae.